RNAcentral lists this ribosomal RNA (700 nucleotides) under uncultured beta proteobacterium. Its description in RNAcentral is "bacterial SSU rRNA". It matches the Rfam family "Bacterial small subunit ribosomal RNA", at positions 28 to 714 of the family's 1533-position model. Lineage: Bacteria; Pseudomonadati; Pseudomonadota; Betaproteobacteria. The record is from RNAcentral.
AUUCCCCUGGCGGAAUGCUUUACACACGCAGUUCGAACGGCACGCACGGACUUCGGUCUGGUGGCGAGUGGCGAACGGGUGAGUAAUACAUCGGAACGUGCCCAGUCGUGGGGGAUAACGUAGCGAAAGCUACGCUAAUACCGCAUACGAUCUAAGGAUGAAAGCGGGGGAUCGCAAGACCUCGCGCGAUUGGAGCGGCCGAUGGCAGAUUAGGUAGUUGGUAGGGUAAAGGCCUACCAAGCCGACGAUCUGUAGCUGGUCUGAGAGGACGACCAGCCACACUGGGACUGAGACACGGCCCAGACUCCUACGGGAGGCAGCAGUGGGGAAUUUUGGACAAUGGGCGAAAGCCUGAUCCAGCCAUUCCGCGUGCAGGAUGAAGGCCCUCGGGUUGUAAACUGCUUUUGUACGGAACGAAAAGGUCCUGGUUAAUACCUGGGGCUCAUGACGGUACCGUAAGAAUAAGCACCGGCUAACUACGUGCCAGCAGCCGCGGUAAUACGUAGGGUGCAAGCGUUAAUCGGAAUUACUGGGCGUAAAGCGUGCGCAGGCGGUGAUGUAAGACAGAGGUGAAAAUCCCCGGGCUCAAGCUGCGAACUGCCUUUUGUGACUGCAUCGCUGGACGUACGGCACGAGGGGGAUGGAAUUCCAGCGCGUUGUAGCAGAUGAAAUGCGUACAUAUUGCGGAGGAACACGAAUG